GGAGUCUGUGGCUCAGUGGAAGAACUUCUGCUUUGCAAGCAGAAGGUCCCUGGUUCAACCCCCACGUCUCCA
This 72-nucleotide transfer RNA is filed under the name Sphaerodactylus townsendi. RNAcentral's name for it is "tRNA-Ala". Lineage: Eukaryota; Metazoa; Chordata; Lepidosauria; Squamata; Sphaerodactylidae. The record is from RNAcentral.